RNAcentral lists this ribosomal RNA (559 nucleotides) under uncultured euryarchaeote. RNAcentral describes it as "bacterial SSU rRNA". It matches the Rfam family "Archaeal small subunit ribosomal RNA", at positions 318 to 871 of the family's 1478-position model. The record is from RNAcentral. Lineage: Archaea; Methanobacteriati; Methanobacteriota.
CAGACCUUCGGGUCAACAGGCUCGAAACUUCACACGUCAGGUACUGUUGAUGAGGGAACUCCAAGUGCUAUCACUAUGUUGUGUAGCUUCUCUGUACUAUUAAUUCGUUCAUGGAAUAAGGGUUGGGUAAGACCCGGGUGCCAGCCGCCCUCGUUAAUUACCGGCAGCUCAAGUGUUCGUCGCUGUUAUUGGGGCCUAAUACGUCACGUAGCCUGUUUGGUAAAUCUGUGGGUAAAUCAACCAGCUUAACUAGUGUUGAAUUCUGCAGAGACUGCCAGACUAGGGACCGGGAGAGGUGUGGGGUACUCUAUGGGUAGGGUUAUAAUCCUGUCAUCCUUAGAGGACCACCAGUUGCGAAGGCGCCACACUGGAACGGAUCCGACGGUCAGGGACGAAGCCUAGGGGCACGAACCGGAUUAGAUACCCGGGUAGUCCUAGGUGUAAACGCUGUGAACUUGGUGUCGGGGAUCCGUAAUGGGUCCUCGGUGCCGGAGUGAAGAUGUUAAGUUCACUGCCUGGGGUGUACGGUCGCAAGGCUGAAACUCAAAUGAAUUGACGG